This 89-nucleotide transfer RNA is filed under the name Erysipelotrichaceae bacterium. RNAcentral describes it as "tRNA-Ser". It matches the Rfam family "tRNA". From Rfam's summary of the family: Transfer RNA (tRNA) molecules are approximately 80 nucleotides in length. Their secondary structure includes four short double-helical elements and three loops (D, anti-codon, and T loops). Lineage: Bacteria; Bacillati; Bacillota; Erysipelotrichia; Erysipelotrichales; Erysipelotrichaceae. The record is from RNAcentral. RNAcentral also lists the same sequence under 2 other names.
GGAGAAUUACCCAAGAGGCUGAAGGGGGCGGUUUCGAAAACCGCUAGACGUGAAAGCGUGCGGGGGUUCAAAUCCCUCAUUCUCCGCCA